Molecule: long non-coding RNA, 1065 nt
Filed under: Aquila chrysaetos chrysaetos
Lineage: Eukaryota; Metazoa; Chordata; Aves; Accipitriformes; Accipitridae
Description: lncRNA (ENSACCG00020002644.1)
Source: RNAcentral
AGCUGCUCUAUCACUCCCCCACUCAACUGGACAGGGGAGAGAAAAUAUAACAAAAGGCUCAUGGGUCGAGAUAAGGACAGGGAGACAUCAUUCACCAAUUAUGAAUUUUGCCACUUCAUGGGCAAAACAGACUCGACUUGGGGAACUUAGUUUAAUUUAUUGCCAAUCAAAUCAGAGUAGGAUAAUGAGAAAAUAAAAACUAAAUCGUAAAACACCUUCCCUCCACCCUCCCUUCUUCCCGGGCUUAACUUUACUCCUGAUUUUCUCCCACUCCUCUCCACCAGCAGCGCAGGGGGAUGGGGAAUGGAGGUUGUGGUCAGUUCAUCACACCUUGUCUCUGCUGCUCCUUCCUCCUCAGGGGGAGGACUCCUCACACUCAUCCCCUGCUACACCAUGGGGUCCCUCCCACGGGAGACAGUCUUCCACGAACUUCUCCAACGUGGGUCCUUCCCACGGGCUGCAGUUCUUCAUGAACUGCUCCAGCAUGGGUCCCUUCCAUGGCGUGCAGUCCUUCAGGAGCACACUGCUCCAGCGUGGGUCCCCCACGGGGUCACAAGUCCUGCAAGAAAACCUGCUCCGUGGGCUCCUCUCUCCACAGAUCCGCAGGUCCUGCCAGGACCCUGCUCCAGCACGGGGUUCCCACGGGGUCACAGCCUCCUUCAGGAACCCACCUGCUCCGGUGUGGGGUCCUCCACGGGCUACAGGUGGAUAUCUGCUCCACCGUGGACCUCCAUGGACUGCAGGGGGACAGCCUGCCUCACCAUGGUCUUCCUCACUGGCUGCAGUGGAAUCUCUGCUCCAGCGCCUGGAGCAUGUCCUCCCCCUCCUUCUUCACUGACCUGGGGGUCUGCAGGGCUGUUUCUCUUGCAUGUCCUCACUCCUCUCUCUGGUUGCAGUUUCUGUGCUGCAGCAACUUUUUUUUCCCUUCUUAAAUACGUUAUCUCAGAGGCACUACCACUGUCACUGAUGGGCUCAGCCUUGGCCGGCGGCGGGUCUGUCUUAGAGCCAGCUGGUAUUGGCUCUGUCGGACAUAGGGGAAGCUUCUAGCAGCUUCUCACAGAAGCC